Molecule: long non-coding RNA, 256 nt
Filed under: Homo sapiens (human)
Lineage: Eukaryota; Metazoa; Chordata; Mammalia; Primates; Hominidae
Description: non-protein coding lnc-HLA-A-7:2
Source: RNAcentral
AACACACAGAUCUGCAAGGCCCAGGCACAGACUGAACGAGAGAACCUGCGGAUCGCGCUCCGCUACUACAACCAGAGCGAGGGCGGUUCUCACACCAUGCAGGUGAUGUAUGGCUGCGACGUGGGGCCCGACGGGCGCUUCCUCCGCGGGUAUGAACAGCACGCCUACGACGGCAAGGAUUACAUCGCCCUGAACGAGGACCUGCGCUCCUGGACCGCGGCGGACAUGGCAGCUCAGAUCACCAAGCGCAAGUGGG